RNAcentral lists this long non-coding RNA (200 nucleotides) under Carica papaya (papaya). RNAcentral's name for it is "long non-coding RNA (CPAP_LNC005093)". The record is from RNAcentral. Lineage: Eukaryota; Viridiplantae; Streptophyta; Magnoliopsida; Brassicales; Caricaceae.
AAGCAUCAGAAUUUAUUCUGUUCAAAAUGAUCCAAAAAAUAGAGAUUGGGGCGAGAGAGGAAUUUUUCUCGGUAGCCUGAAUUCUGCCCAUACCCAAAGCUCAUCCUCAAUAGACUAGCUUGUCGUGCAACCACAAUUUGAGUAGAUUGAGAGAUGAGUCCCAAAGCCUUCAAGAUUCUUAACACUAAAGCAAAAGAUAG